Molecule: ribosomal RNA, 254 nt
Filed under: uncultured bacterium
Lineage: Bacteria
Description: partial 16S ribosomal RNA
Rfam family: Bacterial small subunit ribosomal RNA
Source: RNAcentral
CACGUAGGGGGCGAGCGUUGUCCGGAUUUAUUGGGCGUAAAGAGCUCGUAGGCGGCUUUGUCAGUCGGGUGUGAAACCUCCAGGCUCAACCUGGAGCCGCCACCCGAUACUGCAAUAGCUAGAGUCCGGUAGGGGAGCAUGGAACUCCUGGUGUAGCGGUGAAAUGCGCAGAUAUCAGGAAGAACACUAGUGGCGAAGGCGGUGCUCUGGGCCGGAACUGACGCUGAGGAGCGAAAGCGUGGGGAGCAAACAGG